AUUGAACGCUGGCGGAAUGCCUUACACAUGCAAGUCGAACGGCAGCACGGGAGCAAUCCUGGUGGCGAGUGGCGAACGGGUGAGUAAUACAUCGGAACGUGCCCAAUCGUGGGGGAUAACGUAGCGGAAGCUACGCUAAUACCGCAUACGAUCUACGGAUGAAAGCGGGGGAGUCGCAAGACCUCGCGCGAAUGGAGCGGCCGAUGGCAGAUUAGGUAGNGGUGGGGUAAAGGCUCACCAAGCCUUCGAUCUGUAGCUGGUCUGAGAGGACGACCAGCCACACUGGGACUGAGACACGGCCCAGACUCCUACGGGAGGCAGCAGUGGGGAAUUUUGGACAAUGGGCGCAAGCCUGAUCCAGCCAUUCCGCGUGCAGGAUGAAGGCC
This 386-nucleotide ribosomal RNA is filed under the name uncultured bacterium. Its description in RNAcentral is "bacterial SSU rRNA". It matches the Rfam family "Bacterial small subunit ribosomal RNA", at positions 29 to 416 of the family's 1533-position model. The record is from RNAcentral.